GCACCCGGGAGGAAAGGCGAGGCUCUGCAUCUAGAUUUACCUCGUUCUCUUUUGUCUCCGCUUUUUUUUCACAUUUCCUUGCGACCCUGGCCCUUGAGCGACAAAAAGGGGAAGCCAAGGCUGGCCCGAGGAACGGAGAGGGCACAUGGCCUAGCCACAAGUGGAGCUUCUGCUCCGCCCGAAGGGAUGCGCUGGAGCGGCCUCUUCCUUCUGCCACGGUCUUUCUUUGCCAACUAGUAGUAGAGAUGGGGUUUCACCAGGUUAGCCAGGCUGGUCUUGAACUCCAGACCUCAAGGGAUCCGCCUGCCUCAGCUUUCCAAAGUGCUGGGAUUACAGGUGGAGACUGGACCUCAGAAGAGGGAGUGGGUGCCCCGAGAACUCACAGCUAGCGGACAGUGGAAAGGGCAGGAGCCGGACCAAGGUGAGGACAGUGGAACUGAAGGCCGCUGGUUACCUCUCCUGCCCUCCGCUGGCCACAGUGGAGAAGACAGCCCCUCCCUCCUGCUCUGACCUGACAGUGUUCAUCCAUCGCCCUGUAUUAGCGAAGAACAACAUCAAGCUGGCUAGCAAGGAACUGUAUACAGGGUCCAGCUGGGUAUCACACUGGAUCUCACCCAAAGCUUAGAUGUGAUCCAGCUCAGUAUCACAAAGCAGAACGAAAAGGAUGUGUUUGGGCUGAGAGGCCAUACAUUGGUAAGUGGCACAUGAACUGUAUUUUCUAUUGAGCAUUGCUGGUAUAUGGCAAAUUUGCAUAAAAUUAUAUUGAAAUUGA
This 772-nucleotide long non-coding RNA is filed under the name Homo sapiens (human). Its description in RNAcentral is "ZNF213 antisense RNA 1". Lineage: Eukaryota; Metazoa; Chordata; Mammalia; Primates; Hominidae. The record is from RNAcentral.